UGGAGAGAUCACAGUCACCAGAGCAAGUUGCCUUGGAAAGUUCUUGGAGUGGCAUAUCCCCAUGUGGCACGGCUCCCUGAAUGUUGGGGCAGAACAUGUCAUCCAUGGAAAUUGACUUAUUUUGUUCUACAAGGAAAAAAACAGGUGUCAGCACAAGAAGAGAAGUAUAACCCCACGUCCAUAAGCUGAAACAGGUGUAUGUGCUUUUAGUUUGAGGGGAAUAAUCUACACCAAUAAAAGUGUUGACAGUGGC
RNAcentral lists this long non-coding RNA (253 nucleotides) under Mus spicilegus (steppe mouse). RNAcentral's name for it is "lncRNA (ENSMSIG00000016534.1)". Lineage: Eukaryota; Metazoa; Chordata; Mammalia; Rodentia; Muridae. The record is from RNAcentral.